Anthonomus grandis grandis is the source of this 465-nucleotide long non-coding RNA. RefSeq lists it as uncharacterized. Lineage: Eukaryota; Metazoa; Arthropoda; Insecta; Coleoptera; Curculionidae. The transcript has 2 exons. The record is from RefSeq and is a predicted model, not a curated record.
UGUCAGCCACAAUGUAGCGGUUUCCAGUCAAAAGUUUCCCUUCGAGUUUAAAGCCCUCGGGCUCCUUGCGCCCCCUUUUUUGUCUAAUUUAACGUCGACACGUCGUCCUCUAUUUUAGUUUCAAUUGAGAGAGAUUAGGUUGGAUUAAAACGAAGAAAUUUUGCGAAAAACUGAAAACGCUCUGUAUCAGCUAUUAGUUCAGAUUUAACGCUAUCUGUCGAAACAAUGCAUCCGGGAACAAGGCAGGAAAGGGAAAGCAGGACCUCAUGAAUAUGUAUGGCCGUGCUUGUGUAGAAUCAAAUCAUGAGGAACUGUGUCAAACGCCUUAGCCAGAUCCAAAAACACAGCAAGGAAAUUUUUGCCAUAAACUAAAUUAUUUGUAAUACCGCUCCGAAACCGGAAUUGUAUUCCGAUAAGAUAUUAUUGAUGUUAAAAAAAAAACAAUUAAUAAAUCCUUUAAGUAUU